UACGGGGGGGGCAAGCGUUGUUCGGAAUUACUGGGCGUAAAGGGCUCGUAGGUGGCCAACUAAGUCUGUCGUGAAAUCUCCCGGCUUAACUGGGAGGGUGCGGCGGAAACUGGAGUGCUCGAGGAUGGGAGAGGUAAGCGGAAUUCCUGGUGUAGCGGUGAAAUGCGUAGAUAUCAGGAGGAACACCGGUGGCGAAGGCGGCUUGCUGGGCCUUACCUGACGCUGAGGAGCGAAAGCGUGGGGAGCGAACAGG
Molecule: ribosomal RNA, 253 nt
Filed under: uncultured bacterium
Lineage: Bacteria
Description: partial 16S ribosomal RNA
Rfam family: Bacterial small subunit ribosomal RNA
Source: RNAcentral